Molecule: ribosomal RNA, 111 nt
Filed under: Deltaproteobacteria bacterium
Lineage: Bacteria; Pseudomonadati; Myxococcota; Myxococcia
Source: RNAcentral
CCUGGUGGUAAGAUCAGAGGGGCCACACCCGUUCCCAUCCCGAACACGGUAGUUAAGCCCUCUGGAGCCGAUGAUACUGGGAACUCCCGGGAAAGUAGGACGCUGCUAGGG